This 497-nucleotide ribosomal RNA is filed under the name uncultured bacterium. Its description in RNAcentral is "partial 16S ribosomal RNA". It matches the Rfam family "Bacterial small subunit ribosomal RNA", at positions 28 to 507 of the family's 1533-position model. The record is from RNAcentral.
GAUGAACGCUGGCGGCGUGCCUAAUACAUGCAAGUCGAGCGAACAGACGAUGAGCUUGCUCCUCUGACGUUAGCGGCGGACGGGUGAGUAACACGUGGAUAACCUACCUAUAAGACUGGUAUAACUUCGGGAAACCGGAGCUAAUACCGGAUAAUAUAUUGAACCGCAUUGUUCAAUAGUGAAAUACGGUUUUUCUUUCACUUAUAGAUUGAUCCGCGCCGCAUUAGCUAGUUGGUAAGGUAACGGCUUACCAAGGCAACGAUGCGUAGCCGACCUGAGAGGGGGAUCGGCAACACUGGAACUGAGACACGGUCCAGACUCCUACGGGAGGAAGCAGUAGGGAAUAUUCCGCAAUGGGCGAAAGCAUGACGGAGCAAAGCCGCGUGAGUGAUGAAGGUCUUCGGAUCGUAAAACUCUGUUAUUAGGGAAGAAAAAAUGUGUAAGUAAAUAUGCACGUCUUGACGGUACCUAAUCAGAAAGCCACGGCUAACUACGUG